AGUGAACGCUGGCGGUAGGCCUAACACAUGCAAGUCGAACGGCAGCACAGUAAGAGCUUGCUCUUACGGGUGGCGAGUGGCGGACGGGUGAGGAAUACAUCGGAAUCUACUUUUUCGCGGGGGAUAACGUAGGGAAACUUACGCUAAUACCGCAUACGACCUACGGGUGAAAGCAGGGGAUCUUCGGACCUUGCGCGAUUGAAUGAGCCGAUGUCGGAUUAGCUAGUUGGCGGGGUAAAGGCCCACCAAGGCGACGAUCCGUAGCUGGUCUGAGAGGAUGAUCAGCCACACUGGAACUGAGACACGGUCCAGACUCCUACGGGAGGCAGCAGUGGGGAAUAUUGGACAAGGGGCGAAAGCCUGAUCCAGCCACACCGCGUGGGUGAAGAAGGCCUUCGUGUUGUAAAGCCCUUUUGUUGGGAAAGAAAAGCAGCAGGUUAAAACCCCGCUGUUCGGACGGUACCCAAAGAAUAAGCACCGGCUAACUUCGU
Molecule: ribosomal RNA, 491 nt
Filed under: uncultured bacterium
Lineage: Bacteria
Description: partial 16S ribosomal RNA
Rfam family: Bacterial small subunit ribosomal RNA
Source: RNAcentral